GGAAUCUUCGGCAAUGGACGAAAGUCUGACCGAGCAACGCCGCGUGAGUGAAGAAGGUUUUCGGAUCGUAAAACUCUGUUGGUAGAGAAGAACAAGGGUGAGAGUAACUGUUCACCCCUUGACGGUAUCUAACCAGAAAGCCACGGCUAACUACGUGCCAG
This 161-nucleotide ribosomal RNA is filed under the name uncultured bacterium. Its description in RNAcentral is "partial 16S ribosomal RNA". It matches the Rfam family "Bacterial small subunit ribosomal RNA", at positions 358 to 511 of the family's 1533-position model. The record is from RNAcentral.